Non-coding RNA from Pelobates cultripes (western spadefoot toad), 1056 nucleotides. Lineage: Eukaryota; Metazoa; Chordata; Amphibia; Anura; Pelobatidae. The record is from the annotation of a GenBank genome assembly.
UGUAUCUCCCUCUACGCCUAUACCAGAAUCUACCACACCUCCAUUUCAGGAAGGUGACCCUAUUCAAGUUCGUUUGGACUCUGCUACACAAGUAGCAUAUGAUGUUUCAUAUCGUUUGGUUACCUGGCACUUACAAUUAAAUAAAUGGUUGGUUUCCACACAAUAUUCCAAUUGUACGCCAUUCGUAUCAGUACAGGAAAGAGCUUUUCAGUGGUGGUUUUUUGAAAGCAUGUUGUAUAAUGUAUCACUUCGAUCACACCAUCACCCUAGACGAGAUAUUUUAGCUACUGGGUUAGGUACAUAUGGUAGUGUCGUGGGAUCAGCUGCACAAAUUAAUUCGGAAAUUCUAAGAUAUAAACUUGCUUCUUUAGCCUCUCAUACUUCUACAGGUCUGGAUACCCAAUAUGGUAUUAAUACUAAUAUUGUUAAGCUUCAACAGCAUCAAACUCAUGUUAUGGUAGAUACAACUGAGAUUAUUUCUGAUAAGUUUCACACUCUGGUCGACUCAGUUUACAAUUUUACUCGUGAUACUGCAUGGGCAAUGCUAUGUUCACAGGUUCAGGCUGAUCUGUCUACCGAUCUUAAACUUCAGUUGCAAAGUUUAUGGUCAGGUAGAUGGCCUGCUUCGUUGAGUCGUGCUGCUUCAAAAUCUGUGACUGACUUUGCGAUGACAUCUUUUGUGGUGGGAAGUUCUUCUAUCUGACUGCUCACUUGAAAAAUGUGCCAUUCAUACAUUAAUACCAUGGGCAGGCAAAGAUGCUAUUAUUUAUCGUUUAGCUACAAUUGGCCUACCGUCUAACGGGUCAUUAUUAUUGCCUGAACUAUCACAUCAAUGGGUAGCCCAGGGUACGGAUAGUUCUAACUGGACCCUUGUAGACAUUUCUUUGUGUCACUCUGUUCUCCAUCCCAAUAUAAAACUACUACUGAAACAUGUUGGGUUAAUCAGGAUGAAUAUAGUUUUCAUGGUCAAUUUAAUGUUACAAAUCCUGUCUACUACUUGGGGUUAGAUCGUGUUUGUUUUCACUUAUUUCAGCCUGAUCAAAUUAUUUUUAAAAC